GUUCAAAUCCCGGUCGGGUCUGUUGCAUCUUCUCCCUUUCGGUUACAAAAGUAGCGGUUAAAAAAGCAUGGGUUAAAAAUGUACCAUAACAACAAGGAGGUUUCUUCCGUGCCAAUCAAACUUGGACUAAUGCAAUUUCUUGACUUUUUAAGUACUGACAAGAAAACAGUAAUUACUGGCCACAAUAUAAUUUCCUAUGACAUCCCAGUAUUGAUGAAUGCAUUCCAGAACUGUGGUAUUAUCAACAAAUUCCUUGACAAGGUUCAUGCCAUAUGUGAUACUCUUCAACUCUUCAAAAUUAUUAGUCCAGGACUUAAAUCUUAUUCGCAAGUAAACCUUUAUCAGCAUUUCUUGGAAGAGGAAUAUGCAGCCCAUGAUUCAUUACAGGAUGUUGUUGCCCUACAAAGGUUAUUACAUCACGCGGAACCAAGUCGCGGGGUGACGCAAAGCCAGACUUUGUCUUUAGAUUCCUUUAUCAAAAGAGUCGAUUACAAUGAAAAAGCCAAAAUCAACAUGUCAACUCUUUCUCCGUUAACUGACUCUAAGAUCAUCUCGAAGGGAAUGUCUCAUUCCAUAGCCUACAGUGGUUUAUCGUAUGUACAUCUCCAACUUGCAUAUCACAGAAAUGGUCGUCAGGGAAUUAUGGAUGUGUUGAUGGAAGAUGUUAAUGGAAAAGCACGUGUGACGCGUUCUAAAAAAAUUGUGGAUUCUAUUUCUGACUUCUUUCAGUCCAAAGACCCCGAAGUUUAAAUUGAUAUCAAAAGAGCCCUACAUGUUAAUCUGUUGAUAACUUGAUGUACAAUUUUUCACCUUGCCAUCUAAGAAUUUAUGAACAAAUGAAGAUAACAGUGAUCAAUGCGAGGUGAAGAUAACAAACAGUGAUCAAUCUCAUAACUCCUAUAAGCAAUACAAAAUAGAUAGUUGGGCAGACAUGGACCCCUGGACACACCAGGGGUGGGAUCAGGUGCCUAGGAGGAGUAAUCUCAUAAACCUAUAAAGAAUACAAAAUAAAGAGAAUGGCAAACACGGGCCCCUGGACAUACUGGGAUCAAGUACCUAGGAGGAGUAAACAUCCCCUGUUGACAUAAUACAAGCAUUGUGCAUUCUGUUUCCUGAUUAGGUAGUAGUUAACAGAGGAAUAAUAACAACCACAGAUUUUGCAAAAUGCUGACUUUAAACAAUACUGUUGAAACUUGUUUGAGAACAAUUUAUGUGUCACUAACUUGCCUGGAUUUAAAAAUUGAUCAUAUGCACAGCAUGGAUUUGACCAUUGAAUCAGUUUUUGAGAGAUAUUAACAACAUCUGCUGGUGAUAGUGGAAUAUGGCAAGUUGACAAUGGAAAAACUGAAGUAAUUUCAUUUGCCAUAAAGUUGUGUUGUUCGGUUGCUGUUAACAUCUAUAAUGUAUUGAAAGGAAAAGCAGAUUUGGAAGACUCUGUGAUGUCUCUUCUUUCAAGUUCAAGGGUUUUGAAUGUGAUGUCUCCAACAAGGCUAGGUUUGAUGAUUGUUACCAUGGAUACGAACUCAGGACAUAUGUCAAAAAUGUCUUUGUUUUCGGUUUUGAAUAUGAUGUCUCCAGCAUGGAUAUGUUUGACGAUUGUAACCAUGGAAACGAACUCAAGGACCAACAUGUAUGUCAAAAGUGUUUUUUAUUUGCCUACAAAUAAAUAUAAUGCUACCAAUUUCACUCAAUUUUUGAAAUUUUCUAAUGAUUCUGAUGUCAACCAUUCACUUCCUAUUUUUACAGGUUUUGAAUUAUGAUGUCUCCAGCAACGAUAUGUUUGAUGAUGGUUACCAUGGAAAUGAACACACGGACCUAUGUCAGAAAUGUCUUUUUCUGAUAGAAUAGACAUAAUGCUAUGCAUUUCGCUCAAUUUUAGAAUUUUUAAAUUAUUCUGAUGCCAAUCAUACCCUUCCGUUUUUUACAGGUUUUGAACAUGAUGUCUCCACAAAGGUUAUGUUUGAUGAUGGUUACCAUGGAAACGAACUCAUGGACCUAUGUCAGAAAUGUCUUUUUCUGAUAUAAUAGACAUAAUGCUAUGCAUUUCACUCAAUUUUAGAAUUUUUUAAUUAUAUACCCUUCCGUUUUUUACAGGUUUUGAACAUGAUCUCUCCAGCAGGGAUAUGUUUGAUGAUGGUUACCAUGGAAACGAACUCACGGACCUAUGUCAAAAAUUUUUUUUUCUGAUAGAAUAGACAUAAUGCCAUGUAUUUCACUCAAUUUUAGAAUUUUUUAAUUAUUCUGAUGCCAAUCAUACCCUUCCGUUUUUUUUUUUUACAGGUUUUUAAUAUGAUCUCUCCAGCAGGGAUAUGUUUGAUGGUGGUUACCAUGGAAACGAACUCACGGACCUAUGUCAGAAAUAUCUUUUUCUGAUAGAAUAGACAUAAUGCCAUGUAUUUCACUCAAUUUUAGAAUUUUUUGAUUAUUCUGAUGCCAAUCAUACCCUUCCUUUUUUUUUUUUUUUUUUUUUACAGGUUUUUAAUAUGAUCUCUCCAGCAGGGAUAUGUUUGAUGGUGGUUACCAUGGAAACGAACUCACGGACCUAUGUCAGAAAUAUCUUUUUCUGAUAGAAUAGACAUAAUGCUAUGCAUUUCACUCAAUUUUAGAAUUUUUUAAUUAUUCUGAUGGCGGUCAUACCCUUCCGUUUUUUACAGGUUUUGAACAUGAUCUCUCCAGCAGGGAUAUGUUUGAUGAUGGUUACCAUGGAAACGAACUCACGGACCUAUAUCAAAAUUUUCUUUUUCUGAUAGAAUAGACAUAAUGCUAUGCAUUUCACUCAAUUUUAGAAUUUUUUAAUUAUUCUGAUGGCGGUCAUACCCUUACGUUUUUUUUUUUUUUUUUACAGGUUUUGAACAUGAUGUCUCUAGCAAGGAUAUGUUUGAUGAUGGUUACCAUGGAAACGAACUCACGGACCUAUGUCAAAAUGUCUUUUUCUGAUAAAAUAAAUAUAAUGCUAUGCAUUUCACUCAAUUUUAGAAUUUUUUAAUUAUUCUGAUGUCAGCCAUACACUUCCGGUUUCUGUACAGGUUCUAAAUAUGAUGUCUCCAGCAAGGAUAUGUUUGAUGAUGGUUACCAUGGAAACGAACUCACAGACCUAUUUAAAAAUGACUUUUCCUGUUAAAUUAAAAAUAAUGCUAUUUACUUUAAUAAUUUUAGAAAUGUUUUCAUUGUUCUUAUGUCAGUUCCACACUCCCAUUUAGACAAAUAGUAAAUAUACAGUAAAUUAUAAUGUCUCCAGCAAUGUUCGUUACCAUGGAAACGAACUCACGAACCUAUCUUAAAAAUGUCUUUUUUCAAUAAAAUGAAUACAAUGCUAUCUAUUUAACUCAUUUUUAGGAUUUUUUAAUUACUCUGAUGUCAGUCCCAUACAUCCUUAAAGGAGGCGAGUUGUGGUAUUGAAGAAAGGCCAU
Molecule: long non-coding RNA, 3410 nt
Organism: Ostrea edulis (European flat oyster)
Lineage: Eukaryota; Metazoa; Mollusca; Bivalvia; Ostreida; Ostreidae
Exons: 3
Source: RefSeq, a predicted model, not a curated record